Molecule: ribosomal RNA, 988 nt
Filed under: uncultured Corynebacterium sp.
Lineage: Bacteria; Bacillati; Actinomycetota; Actinomycetes; Mycobacteriales; Corynebacteriaceae
Description: bacterial SSU rRNA
Rfam family: Bacterial small subunit ribosomal RNA
Source: RNAcentral
GUGCCAGCAGCCGCGGUAAUACGUAGGGUGCAAGCGUUGUCCGGAUUUAUUGGGCGUAAAGAGCUCGUAGGCGGUUUGUCGCGUCUGCUGUGAAAGCCCGAGGCUCAACCUCGGGUCUGCAGUGGGUACGGGCAGGCUAGAGUGCGGUAGGGGAGAUUGGAAUUCCUGGUGUAGCGGUGGAAUGCGCAGAUAUCAGGAGGAACACCGAUGGCGAAGGCAGAUCUCUGGGCCGUUACUGACGCUGAGGAGCGAAAGCAUGGGUAGCGAACAGGAUUAGAUACCCUGGUAGUCCAUGCCGUAAACGGUGGGCGCUAGGUGUGAGUCCCUUCCACGGGGUUCGUGCCGUAGCUAACGCAUUAAGCGCCCCGCCUGGGGAGUACGGCCGCAAGGCUAAAACUCAAAGGAAUUGACGGGGGCCCGCACAAGCGGCGGAGCAUGUGGAUUAAUUCGAUGCAACGCGAAGAACCUUACCUGGGCUUGACAUACACCAGAUCGUCGUAGAGAUACGGUUUCCCUUUGUGGUUGGUGUACAGGUGGUGCAUGGUUGUCGUCAGCUCGUGUCGUGAGAUGUUGGGUUAAGUCCCGCAACGAGCGCAACCCUUGUCUUAUGUUGCCAGCAUUUGGUUGGGGACUCAUGAGAGACUGCCGGGGUGAACUCGGAGGAAGGUGGGGAUGACGUCAAAUCAUCAUGCCCCUUAUGUCCAGGGCUUCACACAUGCUACAAUGGUCGGUACAACGCGUGUGCGAUCCUGUGAGGGUGUGCUAAUCGCUGAAAGCCGGUCGUAGUUCGGAUUGGGGUCUGCAACUCGACUCCAUGAAGUCGGAGUCGCUAGUAAUCGCAGAUCAGCAACGCUGCGGUGAAUACGUUCCCGGGCCUUGUACACACCGCCCGUCACGUCAUGAAAGUUGGUAACACCCGAAGCCAGUGGCCUGUCAUGGGAGCUGUCGAAGGUGGGAUCGGCGAUUGGGACGAAGUCGUAACAAGGUA